Long non-coding RNA from Peromyscus leucopus (white-footed mouse), 1425 nucleotides. RefSeq lists it as uncharacterized. The transcript has 2 exons. Lineage: Eukaryota; Metazoa; Chordata; Mammalia; Rodentia; Cricetidae. The record is from RefSeq and is a predicted model, not a curated record.
UUUCUGGGCCCAGUGCCACCCUUUAGAAUCAGUAGAGGCAGGCAUCUCCAUUUUAGCAACGCCGGCCCCAUGCGUGACGCCCAGUGUUACGCUGUGCGUGAGUAACACAAUUUAGAAAUAAUCUUUCAUUCUUGCAAUGGACAGGUUAUGUACAAAGCACUUCCUUCCUCGGCCCUGUCCCGUGCCUGCCCCUGACACUGUGUGUGGCUCUGAGGCAGCUCUCCCAGAAUUCCUCCCGCAGGUCUCAACUCCACUUUCACUUCCUUCUUUGGAGUCAUCUUCCUUUCCAAAAUGGCUGCCACCUUCAAGUUGCCUCUCCCACAGUCCCUUCUUGGAUCCUUUCCCACAAACACGCAUGAGCUUCGCCGCCGGGCUUUUAGUCGUGGAUAUAAGCCCCUCCAAGGCCUGUGGUGCUGAGAUCACCUGUUUAUCCUCAGGGCUGCUGGGAUGUAAACUGCUCGAGAAGUGCUAGCUUGUCGAAUAAUAAGAGGGGCCACUCUGAUACUCAGUGGUCGAUUUUUCUUUUCCCAUCAUGGGACAAGGGGGCAGGCACCUUUUGGAGAGAAGAGGAUAUUUGAGAGGAAGGGGGUCACUGGGAGGAAGCUUCCAAACGCCAAGACCUGGCAUGGUGGGCUGCCCACCCCUGUCUGUGAGAAGAGGAGCCCCUAGGAAAAAGCAGAGAGAAGGCCAGAGGUAGCCCACCUGGAGCGCCCUCUUUGAUGAGGAAGGCCCCCGUGAGGAGACGAGCAUUCUUCCUAGAGCUGCAUCUGUCUGGACAGGUAGAAAGGAGGCCCCGGUGGGUUCCCGGAACCUCUGCAGAGCAUGCCUGUAUGUACUCGCUCUGCUGGCACGCCAUGAAUUGUUUUGGGGCUGUCUUGUUAGGAGAUUAAGUUUUCUUUUAAAAAGAUGAAGAAAGAAUCUCUAGCAGGGGCCUGAGUGGAGCUGACCUCUGAGGAGGAGAUGGCGGCAGAGGCUGGCUGACUGGCACUGCGUUUGUCUAAUUAAUCUUCUUGUCAACAGAGUUGUUCUUUGCUGGUGCCAGCCCUGACAUCAUCCUGCAAGCUUGUCACACCGGUUUCUAUCCAGCUACAAAGGCUGCCUCUCCGUGCUCCCUGCUCUCACCAACCACCUCAGCGUGGCCUGGGGUAUGGCGGUGUGGCACUGUGGCUGGGCUGGAACCCCUCUGGGGUGGAGGUGAGAGGGACCUUCCUUCCCCAGCCUCUGACUUAGAGGGUCACAGCUGAUAGGAAAGCUGGUCAGAGACCAGUAAGACAUUCUGAGUAACCUCAGGACUUACCAGAUUGGCGAGGGGGCUCAUCUAACAGCAAGUUGUCUCUUGUUCUCUUCCCUGACAUCAGCGCACAUUUCCCCACCUGAAAGUAGGUGCUCGAUAGUCUGUUGACUGAAUAAAUGAAUGGAGGCUAG